This 518-nucleotide unclassified non-coding RNA is filed under the name Neoscytalidium hyalinum. RNAcentral's name for it is "partial contains 18S rRNA, ITS1, 5.8S rRNA, ITS2 and 28S rRNA". The stretch from base 190 to 343 matches the Rfam family "5.8S ribosomal RNA". The record is from RNAcentral. Lineage: Eukaryota; Fungi; Ascomycota; Dothideomycetes; Botryosphaeriales; Botryosphaeriaceae.
GGAAGGAGCAUACCCGAGGGGAUUCGGGCUCCGGCCGAUCCUCCCCCCCUUUGUGUACCCACCUUUUUUGCUUUGGCGGGCCGCCUCCUACGCGGCCGCCCUCCGUCCGGGGGGUGGCCAGCGCCCGCCAGAGGACCAUCGAACUCCGGUCAGUGAACGUUGCCGUCUGAAAAACAAUCAAUAAACUAAAACUUUCAACAACGGAUCUCUUGGUUCUGGCAUCGAUGAAGAACGCAGCGAAAUGCGAUAAGUAAUGUGAAUUGCAGAAUUCAGUGAAUCAUCGAAUCUUUGAACGCACAUUGCGCCCCUCGGUAUUCCGAGGGGCAUGCCUGUUCGAGCGUCAUUACAACCCUCAAGCUCUGCUUGGUGUUGGGCACCGCCCUUCCGCGGGCGCGCCUCAAAGACCUCGGCGGUGGCGUCUUGCCUCGAGCGUAGUAGAAAACACCUCGCUUUGGAGCGCACGGCGCCGCCCGCCGGACGAACCUUUUGAACUUCUCAAGGUGACCUCGGAUCAGUAG